RNAcentral lists this ribosomal RNA (478 nucleotides) under uncultured bacterium. Its description in RNAcentral is "partial 16S ribosomal RNA". It matches the Rfam family "Bacterial small subunit ribosomal RNA", at positions 33 to 541 of the family's 1533-position model. The record is from RNAcentral.
AGCGAACGCUGGCGGCAGGCUUAACACAUGCAAGUCGAGCGGGCAUCCUUGUGGUGUCAGCGGCAGACGGGUGAGUAACGCGUGGGAAGGUGCCCUUCGGUUCGGAAUAACUCAGGGAAACUUGAGCUAAUACCGGAUACGUGCGAGAGCAGAAAGGUUUAUCUGCCGAAGGAUCGGCCCGCGUCUGAUUAGCUAGUUGGUGAGGUUACGGCUCACCAAGGCGACGAUCAGUAGCUGGUCUGAGAGGAUGAUCAGCCACACUGGGACUGAGACACGGCCCAGAGUGCGCAGGGUGGGAGCGGGGGGGAAGAUGGCAGGGGGGGGACAUUCCGGAGCCGGCCGGGCGGGGAGGGGGAUGCGGGCGGUGGGGUUGUAAAGCUCCUGGCCCGGGGACGAGAAUGACGGUAGAGGAGGAAUCCCCCCCGGCUAAGUUCGUGCCAUCGGCCGCGGUAAUAAGAGGAAGAGCAACCGUCUCAUC